GCCUUCAUAGUAUAGUGGUCAGCACCCUGGACGCUUAUUCCAGAGACUCGUGGUUCGAUUCCCGGUGAAGGCG
This 73-nucleotide transfer RNA is filed under the name Stegodyphus dumicola. RNAcentral's name for it is "tRNA-Lys". It matches the Rfam family "tRNA". Rfam says of the family: Transfer RNA (tRNA) molecules are approximately 80 nucleotides in length. Their secondary structure includes four short double-helical elements and three loops (D, anti-codon, and T loops). Lineage: Eukaryota; Metazoa; Arthropoda; Arachnida; Araneae; Eresidae. The record is from RNAcentral.